RNAcentral lists this ribosomal RNA (48 nucleotides) under Colletotrichum boninense. Its description in RNAcentral is "partial 18S ribosomal RNA". The record is from RNAcentral. Lineage: Eukaryota; Fungi; Ascomycota; Sordariomycetes; Glomerellales; Glomerellaceae.
AAAAGUGGAAACAAGGUAUCCGUUGGUGAACCAGCGGAGGGAUCAUUA